Molecule: long non-coding RNA, 264 nt
Organism: Gadus morhua (Atlantic cod)
Lineage: Eukaryota; Metazoa; Chordata; Actinopteri; Gadiformes; Gadidae
Exons: 3
Source: RefSeq, a predicted model, not a curated record
UUUUUGAUGACUGCAUGGCCCGUAAAAGAUUCAAAUUCGGCAGCAGCGACCGCCAUUUCCAUGUGGAACAGGACGGAACAUUAAUGGUUAUUCAAAACCUGCCAGUUUUGCGCUUUCUUAACUUUUCUAAGAGGCGGAAGAGAGCCUGGAUUAUCCCUCCUCUCAACAUUCUGGAGAAUGAUAGGGGGCCCUACCCCAAACUAGUGGCCCAGAUUCGUUCUGAUCAAGAUAGAGAGUCAAGAAUGGAGUACAAGAUAACGGGUG